ACCGGUCCCCGUACGCGUAGCCUGCCAGGAAUCCUGAGGCAUCUGGUCCCUGGUGGUGAGACUGGUCCUCGGGAGACCGGUCCCUGAAGGGCAGACCGGUCCCUCGCUGCGCAGCAGCUGAAAAACCCGAAAAUUUGGCUAAGUCCUGGAAAACCCACGUUCGGGAACCGGUCCCUGGUCGGGGAGACCGGUCCCCGAAGGCGAAAAAUGCCCAGUCUGGGCAGAUCAAUGGGAAACAAGUGGAGGGGCUUAAGUGCAAUUGUUACAACACUAUAUAU
Molecule: long non-coding RNA, 278 nt
Filed under: Ananas comosus (pineapple)
Lineage: Eukaryota; Viridiplantae; Streptophyta; Magnoliopsida; Poales; Bromeliaceae
Description: long non-coding RNA (ACOM_LNC042198)
Source: RNAcentral